RNAcentral lists this ribosomal RNA (466 nucleotides) under uncultured bacterium. Its description in RNAcentral is "bacterial SSU rRNA". It matches the Rfam family "Bacterial small subunit ribosomal RNA", at positions 330 to 796 of the family's 1533-position model. The record is from RNAcentral.
CCCAGACUCCUACGGAGGCAGCAGUGAGGAAUAUUGGUCAAUGGGCGCGAGCCUGAACCAGCCAAGUAGCGUGAAGGAUGACUGCCCUACGGGUUGUAAACUUCUUUUAUAAAGGAAUAAAGUGAGGCACGUGUGCCUUUUUGUAUGUACUUUAUGAAUAAGGAUCGGCUAACUCCGUGCCAGCAGCCGCGGUAAUACGGAGGAUGCGAGCGUUAUCCGGAUUUAUUGGGUUUAAAGGGUGCGCAGGCGGAUUUUUAAGUCAGCGGUCAAAUCGUGGGGCUCAACCCCAUCCAGCCGUUGAAACUGGGGAUCUAGAGUGUGCGAGAGGUAUGCGGAAUGCGCGGUGUAGCGGUGAAAUGCAUAGAUAUCGCGCAGAACCCCGAUUGCGAAGGCAGCGUGCCGUGCCGCCACUGACGCUGAGGCACGAAAGCGCGGGGAUCGAACAGGAUUAGAUACCCCCGUAACC